This 323-nucleotide ribosomal RNA is filed under the name uncultured bacterium. Its description in RNAcentral is "partial 16S ribosomal RNA". It matches the Rfam family "Bacterial small subunit ribosomal RNA", at positions 355 to 670 of the family's 1533-position model. The record is from RNAcentral.
UAGGGAAUAUUGCACAAUGGGCGCAAGCCUGAUGCAGCCAUGCCGCGUGUGUGAAGAAGGCCUUCGGGUUGUAAAGCACUUUCAGCGAGGAGGAAGGGUUCAGUGUUAAUAGCACUGUUCAUUGACGUUACUCGCAGAAGAAGCACCGGCUAACUCCGUGCCAGCAGCCGCGGUAAUACGGAGGGUGCAAGCGUUAAUCGGAAUUACUGGGCGUAAAGCGCACGCAGGCGGUUUGUUAAGUCAGAUGUGAAAUCCCCGCGCUUAACGUGGGAACUGCAUUUGAAACUGGCAAGCUAGAGUCUUGUAGAGGGGGGUGAGAAUUC